Molecule: long non-coding RNA, 460 nt
Filed under: Crocodylus porosus (Australian saltwater crocodile)
Lineage: Eukaryota; Metazoa; Chordata; Crocodylia; Crocodylidae
Description: lncRNA (ENSCPRG00005011358.1)
Source: RNAcentral
UAGCAAUUUAACAAUAGUAGUCUUGUAAUGAAGGUGGAGCAUGUUUUGGAGACUGCCUGAAUGGGAUUGUGCAGCCCAGAGAAUGAUGAAGGAACCUGGCUUACUAGCAGAGUUUUACCUCUCAAGGAGCAGUCCAGGGGGAAAGGCAUUUGUUACCCUUCUAUCUACAGGAUCAAGUAUAGAAGCACAGAGCACGGGGCCAGCCACAGAGCCCCGCACAGGGCCAGCCACAGAGCCCCACGUGGAGCCCAGCACAGGGUCAACCACAGAGCCAAGCUCCAAGUCAAGUGUGGAACCAAGCACUGAGCCCAGCCAUGAAGAAAAUGAGGAGCCCAGUGGAGGGCCCUGCAUUGAAGAAAGUGAGGAGACCAGUGGAGAACCCAGCCCAGAUCCAAUUACAGAGUCAACCAGAAACCCAAGUGGAGAACCAAGUACGGAGCCAAACACAGAACUACCCUAA